Molecule: ribosomal RNA, 484 nt
Filed under: uncultured bacterium
Lineage: Bacteria
Description: partial 16S ribosomal RNA
Rfam family: Bacterial small subunit ribosomal RNA
Source: RNAcentral
GUUGAACGCUGGCGGCAGGCCUAACACAUGCAAGUCGAGCGGAUGAAGGGAGCUUGCUCCUGUCUUCAGCGACGGACGGGUGGGUAAUGCACAGGAAUCUGACUGGUCGUUGGGGCUAACGUAAGGACACGGACCCUAAUACAACAUCGGUCCUGAGGGAGAAAGUGAGGGAUCUUCGGUGCACACGGUAUCAGAUGAGCCUAGGUCGGAUUAGCUAGUUGGUGGGGUAAAGGCCUACCAAGGCGACGAUCCGUAACUGGCCUGAGAGGAUGAUCAGUCACACUGGAACUGAGACACGGUCCAGACUCCUACGGGAGGCAGCAGUAGGGAAUAUUGCACAAUGGGCGAAAGCCUGACGCAGCCAUGCCGCGUGAGUGAAGAAGGUCUUCGGAUCGUAAAACACUGUUAUUAGGGAGGAAGGACAGUAAGAUAAUCUCUUGCCGUCUUGACGUUACCAACACAGUAAGCACCGGCUAACUUCGUG